Molecule: ribosomal RNA, 308 nt
Filed under: uncultured bacterium
Lineage: Bacteria
Description: bacterial SSU rRNA
Rfam family: Bacterial small subunit ribosomal RNA
Source: RNAcentral
CUAAUACCGCAUGUGGUCUUCGGAUUAAAGCUUCGGCGCUUUGGGAGCGGCCUGCGUAUGAUUAGUUUGUUGGUGAGGUAAUGGCUCACCAAGGCUUCGAUCAUUAGCUGGUCUGAGAGGAUGAUCAGCCAGACUGGGACUGAGAACGGCCCAGACUCCUACGGGAGGCAGCAGUAGGGAAUUUCCACAAUGGGACGAAAGUCUGAUGGAGCAACGCCGCGUGCAGGAUGAAGGCUUUCGGGUCGUAAACUGCUUUUAUAUGUGACGAUUUGACGGUAGCAUAUGAAUAAGGAUCGGCUAACUCCGUG